UACGUAGGGGGCGAGCGUUGUCCGGAUUUAUUGGGCGUAAAGAGCUUGUAGGCGGUCUGUCGCGUCUGCUGUGAAAAUCCGGGGCUCAACCCCGGGCCUGCAUUCGAUACGGGCAGACUAGAGUUCGGUAGGGGAGUCUGGAAUUCCUGGUGUAGCGGUGAAAUGCGCAGAUAUCAGGAGGAACACCGGUGGCGAAGGCGGGACUCUGGGCCGAUACUGACGCUGAGGAGCGAAAGCGUGGGGAGCAAACAGG
This 253-nucleotide ribosomal RNA is filed under the name uncultured bacterium. Its description in RNAcentral is "partial 16S ribosomal RNA". It matches the Rfam family "Bacterial small subunit ribosomal RNA", at positions 524 to 776 of the family's 1533-position model. The record is from RNAcentral.